Molecule: long non-coding RNA, 436 nt
Filed under: Nicotiana tabacum (common tobacco)
Lineage: Eukaryota; Viridiplantae; Streptophyta; Magnoliopsida; Solanales; Solanaceae
Description: long non-coding RNA (NTAB_LNC000707)
Source: RNAcentral
AGAAACUGGAAGAAACAGCCAUUGAGGAGAAACUCGAAGAACCAGCAGUUGAGGAGAAACCUAACAAACCAGCGGUUAAAGAGACACCUGAAGAACCUGCAGUGAAAGAAACACCUGAACAACCAACGGUUGAAGAGAAACCUCAAGAACCAGCAAUUCAAGAGAAACCUCAAGAACCAACAGUUGAAAAGAAACCUGAAGAACCAACAAUUGAUGAAGAACUUGAAGAGCCAACAGUUGCGGAGAAACCUGAAGAACCAGCAGUUAAAGAAAACCAUGUAGAACCAGAAGUUGAUGAAAAACGUGAAGAACCACAAGUUGAAGAAAAACAUGAGGAACCAGCAGUUGAAGAAAAACCUAAAGAACCAAAAGUUGAGGAGAAACCGGAAGAACCAGCGGUUGAGGAGAAACCCGAAGAACCAGCAGUGAAAGAAAC